Silurus meridionalis is the source of this 164-nucleotide small nuclear RNA. RefSeq annotates it as U1 spliceosomal RNA. The record is from RefSeq and is a predicted model, not a curated record. The transcript has a single exon. NCBI's taxonomy places the organism in Eukaryota, Metazoa, Chordata, Actinopteri, Siluriformes, Siluridae.
UUACUCGCCUGGCAGGCACAAUAGCAUGAUCAGAAAGAUGGUUUGCCCAAAGCGAGGCUCAGCCAUUGCAGUCAAGUUGUGCUGGCCUUCACAAAUUUCCCAAAUGUGGGACUCUUGACAGCAUAAUUACUUAUAGUGGGGGAUUUCUCAUGUGAAUUUCCAUC